RNA transcript from Cyanidioschyzon merolae strain 10D, 1498 nucleotides. RefSeq lists it as hypothetical. The transcript has a single exon. Lineage: Eukaryota; Rhodophyta; Bangiophyceae; Cyanidiales; Cyanidiaceae. The record is from RefSeq and is a predicted model, not a curated record.
ACCGGCGGCGGGGCGGGGUGCAUUCAUAAACCUUUCUUUCGCAGGGUUUGAGGUCCAGGUUGUCGAGGCGGCAGCCGCUAGAGCUCAGCGUUGCCCACGCACGCUCGCGGCUAACUGGAGCAAGCUCCACUUGGCUGCUACACUUCCGUCGGGUUGCUUUCUCUUGUUCUUGGUGCGUUGGGUUUGCACAGAGUGAAGCAUGGUCAAGAGCAACACCAGGGAGCUGGCGCUACCGAAGCGCUCCCAGAUCGAGCGCCUCGUAAGGCACGGCCCGGUGUGCACCUCCGAGUUAAUUAGCUUUUUACAGUGUCUGGGGGCAAACGAGUUCAAUGAGGCUGCUUGUGCGAAGGAUAAAGCAGCGCUCGAGGAGUGCGUUGCACAAGCAAAGGCCAGAGCGAGCGCGACAGUCAACAAGAAGCCGAAGAGUACGGUCAUGUAUCAUUUAAAGCGCCUCUAUUACAUGAGGAAGCGAUAGCGAGACUUGAUGUGCUGUGCGUUGGAGCAGUAUGCCCUGGAUGCGACGGCUUUGUCUCGAUUUCGGGAGGUGCGGAUGCGCUGCUGCCUUCGGCAAUGCCUCUUACAGACUUUUCAUCGAUACCGAAAGGCGUCGUUGCGCUCUGACUGAUGCAGAGGUGCGCACGACACAGACACGUGCUGAGAAGAAGAGACACGGCGCGGGCGAUGCUAGCGCAUGCGCUGAAUUGGACUUUUUUUUUCUGGCAGAGGGCACGUUGGAUGUCGCUCUGUCAUGUAGGAGGAGCGUUUUGCGCGGAGAUUUACGGUCGUUUAGCACGAGGAGGUUCCGUUCGGGUCAUGGAAGUGUAUUUUUGGGCUGCUCGCGCUCGCCUGGAACAUGGGCAGGGCGCAUGUCGUAGACAUUACUGGGUGCGCGCGGCGCGCGGGAUGCGUAGGAACUGCUGCGCGCGUGACUCUCGCUUCUGGCAUGCGACGAAUUUCUCGAUCCACGAGAAGAGACUGCGAUGAUGCGCCCAUAAAUUGAGAGAUCUUUCAGGAAAGCAGGUCACCGUCGUGUAAGGCGCAAGGCCUCGUGGUCUUGGGUGAGUCGCACGGCAUCGCAAUGUCCCUCGAUUGGGAAUUCGGAUGCAUCAAAUCUCUCCGGAACGGGCCUGGUGUCAUGCCGCUUCUGCGUGUGCCGCGGAUGGACAUUUCGGUUAAACGAAUCCUUCCGUUGCAGGCGUCAGUGUCUCGAGCAUGCGGGAAACCGGACAAGUCGUCGACCGUAUUUUUUGUACUACGGUGAUGUAUGCUACAUGUAAGCAACGUUAUACGCAGAUAAGUGCAUUCUGGAAUUCGUGUGCCAGCACACUUGUUUUUCGUUUUUGUUCGUUUCCCUCGCAGGUAUUCAGCAGAACAAGUUUGGUUCUGCACAUAGGGUUUAGGUAGCCGAAAGACUUUGUACUGCUAUCGCUGGGUUCCGAAAACUGGCCUUACUCGCGGAAACCGGUUAAUCUUUGGUCAGCUGGUAAAUGAUGCACCC